RNAcentral lists this ribosomal RNA (397 nucleotides) under uncultured bacterium. Its description in RNAcentral is "partial 16S ribosomal RNA". It matches the Rfam family "Bacterial small subunit ribosomal RNA", at positions 523 to 918 of the family's 1533-position model. The record is from RNAcentral.
AAACGUAGGGGGCGAGCGUUGUCCGGAAUGAUUGGGCGUAAAGGGCGCGUAGGCGGCCCGGUAAGUCUGGAGUGAAAGUCCUGUUUUUAAGAUGGGAAUUGCUUUGGAUACUGUCGGGCUUGGGUGCAGGAGAGGUAAGUGGAAUUCCAAGUGUACCGGAGAAAUGCGUAGAGAUUGGGAGGAACACCAGUGGCUAAGGCGACUUACUGGACUGUAACUGACGCUGAGGCGCGAAAGUGUGGGGAGCAAACAGGAUUAGAUACCCUGGUAGUCCACACUGUAAACGAUGAAUGCUAGGUGUAGGGGGUAUCGACCCCUUCUGUGCCGCAGUCAACACAAUAAGCAUUCCGCCUGGGGAGUACGGCCGCAAGGUUGAAACUCAAAGGAAUUGGCGGGG